GAUGAACGCUGGCGGCGUGCCUAAUACAUGCAAGUCGAACGCACAGCGAAAGGUGCUCGCACCUUUCAAGUGAGUGGCGAACGGGUGAGUAACACGUGGACAACCUGCCUCAAGGCUGGGGAUAACAUUUGGAAACAGAUGCUAAUACCGAAUAAAACUCAGUGUCGCAUGACACAAAGUUAAAAGGCGCUUUGGCGUCACCUAGAGAUGGAUCCGCGGUGCAUUAGUUAGGUGGUGGGGUAAAGGCCUACCAAGACAAUGAUGCAUAGCCGAGUUGAGAGACUGAGCGGCCACAUCGGGAGUGAGACACGGCCCAAACUCCUACGGGAGGCUGCAGUAGGGAAUCUUCCACAAUGGGCGAAAGCCUGAUGGAGCAACGCCGCGUGUGUGAUGAAGGCUUUCGGGUCGUAAAGCACUGUUGUAUGGGUAGAACAGCUAGAAUAGGGAAUGAUUUUAGUUUGACGGUACCAUACCAGAAAGGGACGGCUAAAUACGUGCCAGCCGCCGCGGUAA
Molecule: ribosomal RNA, 513 nt
Filed under: uncultured bacterium
Lineage: Bacteria
Description: partial 16S ribosomal RNA
Rfam family: Bacterial small subunit ribosomal RNA
Source: RNAcentral